Molecule: ribosomal RNA, 460 nt
Filed under: uncultured bacterium
Lineage: Bacteria
Description: partial 16S ribosomal RNA
Rfam family: Bacterial small subunit ribosomal RNA
Source: RNAcentral
CCUACGGGAGGCAGCAGUGAGGAAUAUUGGUCAAUGGACGCAAGUCUGAACCAGCCAUGCCGCGUGCAGGAAGACGGCUCUAUGAGUUGUAAACUGCUUUUGUACGAGGGUAAACGCAGAUACGCGUAUCUGUCUGAAAGUAUCGUACGAAUAAGGAUCGGCUAACUCCGUGCCAGCAGCCGCGGUAAUACGGAGGAUUCAAGCGUUAUCCGGAUUUAUUGGGUUUAAAGGGUGCGUAGGCGGUCGGAUAAGUUAGAGGUGAAAUCCCGAGGCUCAACUUCGGAAUUGCCUCUGAUACUGUUCGGCGAGAGAGUAGUUGUGGUAGGCGGAAUGUAUGGUGUAGCGGUGAAAUGCUUAGAGAUCAUACAGAACACCGAUUGCGAAGGCAGCUUACCAAGCUACUUCUGACGUUGAGGCACGAAAGCGUGGGGAGCAAACAGGAUUAGAUACCCGAGUAGUC